AGAGUUUGAUCAUGGCUCAGCCUGAACGCUGGCGGCGUGGUUAAGACAUGCAAGUCGCACGGACGUAGCAAUACGUUAGUGGCGAACGGGUGAGUAAUGAAUCGCUAAUGUACCCCGGACUCUGGGAUAGCCGGUCGAAAGAUCGGGUAAUACCAGAUGAUAUAACUUUGUCGCAUGACAGAGUUCUCAAAGGUCCGCCGGUCUGGGAGCAGGCGAUUUUGUAUCAGCUAGUUGGUGAGGUAACGGCUCACCAAGGCGACGACGCAUAGCCGGACUGAGAGGUUGGCCGGCCACAUUGGGACUGAGACACUGCCCAGACUCCUACGGGGGGCUGCAGUAACGAAUCUUCCGCAAUGUACGAAAGUAUGACGGAGCGACGCCGCGUGUAGGACGAAGCCCUUCGGGGUGUAAACUACUGUCAAGGGUUAGAAAGUUCUGAUCAACCCUAGAGGAAGGCACGGCUAACUCUGUGCCAGCAGCCGCGGUAAGACAGAGGUGCCAAGCGUUAGGCGGAAUCACUGGGCUUAAAGCGUGUGUAGGCGGAUUGGUAAGUACCUUGUGAAAUCCCAUGGCUCAACCAUGGAACUGCUUGGUAUACUGCUUGUCUUGAGCCACUUAGGGGCAACCGGAACAAAUGGUGGAGCGGUGAAAUGCGUAGAUAUCAUUUGGAACGCCAAUGGUGAAAACAGGUUGCUGGGAGUGUGCUGACGCUGAGACACGAAAGCCAGGGGAGCGAACGGGAUUAGAUACCCCAGUAGUCC
RNAcentral lists this ribosomal RNA (761 nucleotides) under uncultured bacterium. RNAcentral's name for it is "bacterial SSU rRNA". It matches the Rfam family "Bacterial small subunit ribosomal RNA", at positions 8 to 796 of the family's 1533-position model. The record is from RNAcentral.